GCGAGUACAGCAUACCAAUUUCGAGCCCUAAUCAUUUGAAUUGGCAAAAACUGUACUCUCUAUACUCGCUCCCAAAUAUUCACUGCUCAUCACUCUUCUUUGCUGUGAUCAUCACAAUUCUCUACUCGCACCGCAUAAUAAUGACCAAUUAUGAACGGACGUGUUUCAGGCACAAGGUUGACUACCUGGAUUGGAGGAACACAUCUUACCUCAAUGGUAAUUGACCUUGAGCAUCCAUCAGGCGAUCAGCACAAGGAGAAAGAAGACUGUGGGCACCAUAUAUGUGGAGCUACUGCCACUGCUUCAAAGAGUGUUUGCCUGGACAGAGGGAAUGCAGGACCUAGUUGGAAUGAAGGAACAUCUAAUGGCACCUAUAUAUUGCCAAAUGCAGAUUCUUUGGCUGUGAAUUGCUACAGAGGUUUGGAGCCACAUGAUGGUAUGGAAUUCGAUUCGAAGGAGGAUGCCUUUUCGUUUUACAAAGAAUAUGCUAAGUCCAUCGGAUUUUUCUCAAUAAUAAAGGCUAGCCGUCGUUCAAGAAUUUCUGGAAUAUUUAUUGAUGCAAAAUUUGUUUGCAGUAGGUAUGGAAGUAAGCAAGAACCUUCUACGUCCGUUACAGAACCUGUUCCAAGUGCUGAUGGCGCAGGAAGUAUUCCUGUGAGGAGAAAAAAGGGUAGAAUAAACAGGUCUUGGUCAAAAACAGAUUGUAAGGCUUGCUUGCAUGUAAAGAGAAGGUCUGAUGGAAGGUGGAUUAUUCGUACUUUUGUCAAAGAGCAUAACCAUGAGACAUUUCCAGAUCGGACCAACUACCUUCGAGGUCAUAGGAAUACUGAUUUGGGUAAGAAUGGUGCAGAUGCAUUUCAUUCUAUCUGUGGGAGGACGAAAAAGACUUAUGUGACAAUGUCUAGGCAAUCUGGUGUGAUGAAGAAAGUUGAGAAGCAAAAGAAUGUUGGCACAAAGAGCAGUCCUCAAUCUUUGGCUUUAGAUGAGGGAGAUGCACAAGUUAUGCUUGAGCAUUUUCUUUACAUGCAAGAUGAAAAUCCAAACUUCUUUUAUGCAAUGGAUUUGAAUCAAGAGCAACGCUUGAGAAAUGUAUUUUGGGUUGAUGCUAAAGGAAGGAUUGACUAUAGUAACUUCAGUGACGUAGUUCUUGUUGACACUACAUAUAUAAAAAACGAUUAUAAGUUGCGCUUCGUUCCUUUUAUUGGUGUUAAUCAUCAUUGUCAGUCCAUAUUGCUUGGGUGUGGGCUGAUUGCCAAUGAGAGUAAGUCGACAUUUGUUUGGUUGAUGCGAGCAUGGCUUAGGGCAAUGGGUGGACAAGCUCCAAAAGUUAUACUGACUGAUCAAGACAAUACAUUGGAAGAAGUUAUUGCUGAGGUUUUACCAGAUUGCUGCCAUUGCUUUUGUUUGUGGCACGUACUGAGUAAUAUCCAGGAGAAGCUUGGUCAUGUCAUUAGGCAGCAUGAAGAUUUUCUCUCCAAAUUUAAUAAAUGCAUUUUGAGGUCUGCGACCAAUGAAUUGUUUGAAAAGAGGUGGUGGAAGGUGGUUGAUAGAUUUGAUUUGAGGAAUGACUUGUGGAUUAAAUCAUUGUACAAAGAUCGCCUAAGGUGGGUACCAACAUUCAUGAAUAAUAUCUUCUUGGCAGGAAUGUCUACAAUGCAACGGUCGGAAAGCGUGAGCUCUCUUUUGGAGAAGUGCAUGUUAUGCAGGACGACACUGAAGGAGUUUCUUGACCAGUAUAAGAAACUGCUGCGAGAGAAAUGUCAAGAAGAGGCAAGUGCUGAUUCUGAGACGAGGCAUAAACAACCAGGACUGAAAUCUCCCUCCCCUUUUGAAAAGCAGAUGUCAACUUUAUACACUCAUACAAUAUUCAAGAAAUUCCAAGCCCAGGUUUUGGGAGUGGUUGCAUGUCACCCUAAAAAAGAAAGUGAUGAUGGUGCAGCUGCCACAUAUAGAGUCCAAGAUUUUGAAGAAAAUCAAGAAUUCGUUGUUGUAUGGAGUGAGAAGACAUCUGAUGCAUCAUGUUCUUGUCAUUUGUUCGAGUAUAAUGGAUUUCUUUGUAGACACGUGAUGAUAGUUCUUCAAAUGGCUGGUGUGCAUAACAUCCCCUCUAAAUAUAUUUUAAGUCGCUGGACUAAAGGUGCAAAGAGUAGAGAGAAGAUGAGAGAAGUAAAUUUGGUUGAUUCUAGGGUUCAACGAUAUAAUGAUCUAUGUCAAAGGGCAUUUGAGCUAGGCGAUGAAGGGUCACUAUCUCAAGAGAGUUAUAAUAUUGUAUUCAAUGCACUGGAAAAUUUUCUGAGAAGAUGUGAGGCUGUGAAUGAUCCAAAUUUAAAUGAGUCAGAACCUUGUUUUCCCACAAAUCAAGUAUUCAUAGAUGGUAACAACCCAAGCAAGAGUAACGGAAAGAACAUAGCAAGGAAAGAGAAGGGGCAAUCAGGUUUGGGAGAACCGACUGUUGAUUAUCCUUUUCAAUCGCAUUCAGCCAUGCAGCCAAUGGGCCAAAUAAACGCUAGAUUUCCAGCUCCUGGUGGCUACUAUAGCAGCCCCCAAAUUAUUCAAGGAGUGGGACAAUUGAAUACAAAUAUCCAAGCUUAUGGCAACCAACCAAACAUGCCGGGGCUGGUGAUUAAUUUAAGAACUCCAAGCACUGAUGUAUUCUAUGAUUUCUGGUGUUAUCUCAAACUAACAAUUCGGUUGGCUUUGUUCUUUUCUAGGGACAGUUGAAUACAAUUGCUUCAAUUGCAGAUUGCCCUUAUCUCUCUCAACCUACAUUCCAUGGACUGGGAUAAAUGUAUUUUAGGCCAGCAGUUGCUCAAAGUUCUUUUGGUGUUCAGAACAGUUUGCAGGAGGUGGGUAUACCUUAUGCUCAUUUUGCCUUGUAUCUCUCUUCUUGUUUUACCACCAUUUUGUACAAUAUACUUAAUUUCUUCCCGUUUUUCGGUUCAAUCAUCAGUCUAGCAUGGCUAAUACACAGAUGCUGCGCUUGGCCAUGGCGAACAAAAAUUAGGAAUAUUUGGUUUUUCUUCAUUAUCACAAGAACUUAUGAGAAUUUGUUGCUUUCUUUGUGCAAAUGCACAAAUAAUUUGGCAUGUAUUUUUAUCAUGAAUCUUGUGGCUUCUAAUAGUAAUUAAUUUGACAUUUACCCUUUA
Molecule: non-coding RNA, 3146 nt
Organism: Nicotiana tabacum (common tobacco)
Lineage: Eukaryota; Viridiplantae; Streptophyta; Magnoliopsida; Solanales; Solanaceae
Source: RefSeq, a predicted model, not a curated record